This 613-nucleotide long non-coding RNA is filed under the name Helianthus annuus (common sunflower). RNAcentral's name for it is "hypothetical non coding rna". The record is from RNAcentral. Lineage: Eukaryota; Viridiplantae; Streptophyta; Magnoliopsida; Asterales; Asteraceae.
GUUCUCGCAAUUCCCCGGUCAACCAACUUGAGAACGCCUAACGACUUCUGCAACUAUGGUCGCAAGUGACUCGUCUCGGUUACAUGCUAUGCCCACCAUAUACACGUGGCAUGUCUAUCUAGGUUUGCUAUACCCACAACUUGGUUAUCCCAAUCAAAUGAUGUUGAACUUUUGAGCCAACAGUUAUAAUACGUGGCCACCGAUAGAGAAGAGGUCAAAUAGAUAUUCCUUUUCAAGAAAUCCAAAUGUGGAGACUGGAUAAUUGUUCAUGGAAGCUUUCCCUCCAAGAACGACGAGAAGAAUGCAAGCCCACGAGCCGGUUGGUAGCUUGGGACGAAGUGUCCAGCUCCUCUUAUCGUCACAAAUGUUAAGUUCUGGUAUCCCACAACAUACCCACCAACCUAAAUAGCCCAAACAAACAAAAUUCCAUGAACUGUUAAGUUAAGUUGAGUUAAGCCUGACAAAACAGUCGGGUCGGGUUAAAACAGAAUGUUUUAGAAAAAAAGUAAUAUUGGAUAAAUAAAAGAUGAAGAAUUGGCUAAGAACGCGUUCUACCUCGCCUUGAUACAUCCAUGGUGCCGUUGCUUGAUGAUGAACAUAAGGGAGCAUAGAU